Molecule: ribosomal RNA, 803 nt
Filed under: uncultured bacterium
Lineage: Bacteria
Description: bacterial SSU rRNA
Rfam family: Bacterial small subunit ribosomal RNA
Source: RNAcentral
AGAGUUUGAUCAUGGCUCAGGACGAACGCUGGCGGCGUGCCUAACACAUGCAAGUGGAGCGACGAACCAGGCUUCGGCCUGGGGCAAAGCCGCGAACGGGUGAGUAACACGUGGGUAACCUGCCCCGAUGAUCGGGACAACCCGAGGAAACUCGGGCUAAUACCGAAUGUGCCCUCCGACCAUAAGGUCGCUGGGGAAAGGAAGCUUCGGCCUUCGCAUCGGGAUGGGCCCGCGGCCCAUUAGCUUGUUGGUGAGGUAACGGCUCACCAAGGCGACGAUGGGUAGCUGGUCUGAGAGGACGAUCAGCCACACUGGGACUGAGACACGGCCCAGACUCCUACGGGAGGCAGCAGUGGGGAAUCUUGCGCAAUGCGCGAAAGCGUGACGCAGCAACGCCGCGUGGGGGAAGAAGGCCUUCGGGUUGUAAACCCCUUUCAGUUGGGACGAAGCUUCGUCGGUGAAUAGCCGGCCGGAGUGACGGUACCUUCAGAAGAAGCCCCGGCUAACUACGUGCCAGCAGCCGCGGUAAUACGUAGGGGGCAAGCGUUGUCCGGAAUCAUUGGGCGUAAAGAGCGUGUAGGCGGCCUGGUAAGUCCGCUGUGAAAGUCCAGGGCUCAACCCUGGAAUGCCGGUGGAAACUGUCAGGCUCGAGUCCGGAAGAGGCGAGUGGAAUUCCUGGUGUAGCGGUGAAAUGCGCAGAUAUCAGGAGGAACACCAAUGGCGAAGGCAGCUCGCUGGGACGGUACUGACGCUGAGACGCGAAAAGCGUGGGGAGCAAACAGGAUUAGAUACCCCCGUAGUCC